AUUUAUACCCCAGCUUUCUCCGGAAAAGGACUCAAAGCAGCCUAUGUUAUUAAAAACAGUUUUAAGAUAUUUAAAAAAUAAAUUGUUCCACAUUAUUUCUUAGUCCUUCAGGUGACACAAUUCCUCCUUGUUUUUGCUCCAGCCGACUAAAAGAACUAUCCCGCAGAAAAAUGAUUCCCAUCUGCGUUCUCCUCAGCAAGAAUUUGCAACGACACGGCUUCUGGUUAAACGCAUGGAACCUAAAUGGACGAUGGAGCUCAGCACCUCGGGAUGGGAGGCUGGGAAACCGCGCCGGAGCGCGAGCUUCGCAGUCGGGAAGCACCGCUCGUUCCCUUCACACAACCUCCAAACAAAUUGAACUGGAGGCCUGAGGGUGGGCGGGGAGGUGCGGGCGUCUUAAUUGCUUAAAAUCAUCCCUCCCCUGCACGUCCUACAUAAAAAAGAAACUGCAGGGAAGGCAGAACAGGAAAUGAGAGACGACUGGUUCGCUCCUGUCCCUCUUCCAAAUAAGAUCGUGCCCGCCCCCGUCGUCGUGCCUAACCCCCGCCUCCUUUGAACCCGUCCUAUUGAGACCAUCCCUACGGAAACGCUUUGCUAUUCCUUCCUUCGAACACCCGUCCCUCCCCCCGCCCAGGUUGCUGCGAUGGUUUGCUUCGCUUAGUGCCUCCGCCGGUCUUCCUGUCCACCCCUUCCACGAGGACACGGUGGUAUAUUCCUCUGGCACAGCACCGAGGCUUGGGAGGCUUCCAGUCCUCUUCUAGCAAAGAGCUGCUGCUGCUGCCGCCGCCGGCGCGCUGGUUGGGGGCUUAGAGAGGAAAAGAGGAGGCCCGCCGGUGCUGGAGAGGCAGGAGCCGGGGACUGGCACCAGGCCGCCUUCCUCCUCCCGCCCUCAUUCUCUUGGCUGGCAUGACACUUUUUGGCAGCAGCGAAAGGUGCUGGAGAUAUCUAGACAUGGCCCAUGAACCCAAGCUAAGUCAUACCAGGCCUAGUCAGAAGAGGCAACAUGGUGGAGGCCUAUAUCCGGUUUAUGAGUACCCAGAGAUCCCCCCUCUCAUCAGUUACAUUCCUGUCAAGAUCAGGCGGAGACACCUAGGGGCACGGAGCAAGACCAGCCUAGGCCCACAUACAGCGCUAAGAGGAAGCAGCAAUUCCACAACAGGCACUACAAAAUGUGCCAAGGAAGGCAAGAAGAAAGCUUUAACCGGUGGAGAGGUGUCAUCCCAAGCAGGAGAGCCUAGCCAGAAGAAGGAAAGCACAGACGACGACACCCACGCUGCCCUGCCUUAUUUUGACAGUGCAGAGGAGAGCACAGACACUGAAGAGGCGGCAAGGAAUCACACACUUGAUCUUGAAGGCAGCAACUAA
This 1365-nucleotide long non-coding RNA is filed under the name Pogona vitticeps (central bearded dragon). RNAcentral's name for it is "lncRNA (ENSPVIG00000021881.1)". Lineage: Eukaryota; Metazoa; Chordata; Lepidosauria; Squamata; Agamidae. The record is from RNAcentral.